RNAcentral lists this ribosomal RNA (424 nucleotides) under uncultured bacterium. RNAcentral describes it as "bacterial SSU rRNA". It matches the Rfam family "Bacterial small subunit ribosomal RNA", at positions 954 to 1378 of the family's 1533-position model. The record is from RNAcentral.
GCUAAACGCGAAGAACCUUACCUACCCUUGACAUGUCUGGAAUCCCGAAGAGAUUUGGGAGUGCCGCAAGGAACCAUGAGACAGGUGCUGCAUGGCUGUCGUCAGCUCGUGUCGUGAGAUGUUGGGUUAAGUCCCGCAACGAGCGCAACCCUUGUCCUUAGUUGCCAUCAUUAAGUUGGGAACUCUAAGGAGACCGCCGGUGACAAACCGGAGGAAGGUGGGGAUGACGUCAAGUCAUCAUGGCCUUUAUGGCCAGGGCUACGCACGUGCUACAAUGGCAGGUACAGAGGGAGGCCAACCGGCGACGGGGAGCCAAUCCCAGAAAGCCUGUCUUAGUCCGGAUUGCAGUCUGCAACUCGACUGCAUGAAGUUGGAAUCGCUAGUAAUCGCAGAUCAGCAUUGCUGCGGUGAAUACGUUCCCGGG